Molecule: small RNA, 148 nt
Filed under: Pongo abelii (Sumatran orangutan)
Lineage: Eukaryota; Metazoa; Chordata; Mammalia; Primates; Hominidae
Description: Metazoan signal recognition particle RNA (ENSPPYG00000038547.1)
Source: Rfam by way of RNAcentral
GCUGGGCGUGGUGGUGCGUGCCUGUAGUCCCAGCUACUCAGGAGGCUGAGGCAGGAGAAUUGCUUGAACCCAGGAGGCAGAGGUUGUAGUGAGCCCAGAUCGUGCCACUGCACUCCAGCCUGGGUGACAGAGCGAGACUCAGUCUCAA